Molecule: transfer RNA, 70 nt
Filed under: Kallimoides rumia
Lineage: Eukaryota; Metazoa; Arthropoda; Insecta; Lepidoptera; Nymphalidae
Description: tRNA-Leu
Source: RNAcentral
ACUAUUUUGACAGAAAAUUGUGAUGGUUUUAGAAGUCAUAUAUAUAUAUAUAUACUAUAUAUAAGUAGUA